UUAAAUUGAAGAGUUUGAUCAUGGCUCAGAUUGAACGCUGGCGGCAGGCCUAACACAUGCAAGUCGAACGGUAACAGGAAGAAGCUUGCUUCUUUGCUGACGAGUGGCGGACGGGUGAGUAAUGUCUGGGAAACUGCCUGAUGGAGGGGGAUAACUACUGGAAACGGUAGCUAAUACCGCAUAACGUCGCAAGACCAAAGAGGGGGACCUUCGGGCCUCUUGCCAUCGGAUGUGCCCAGAUGGGAUUAGCUUGUUGGUGGGGUAACGGCUCACCAAGGCGACGAUCCCUAGCUGGUCUGAGAGGAUGACCAGCCACACUGGAACUGAGACACGGUCCAGACUCCUACGGGAGGCAGCAGUGGGGAAUAU
RNAcentral lists this ribosomal RNA (369 nucleotides) under Escherichia coli. RNAcentral describes it as "bacterial SSU rRNA". It matches the Rfam family "Bacterial small subunit ribosomal RNA", at positions 1 to 364 of the family's 1533-position model. Lineage: Bacteria; Pseudomonadati; Pseudomonadota; Gammaproteobacteria; Enterobacterales; Enterobacteriaceae. The record is from RNAcentral.